UAUAGUUUAGUUUAAGGGAAUAUUAAAUUUUGAUUUUAAAGGAGGUAAUUUAUCUUACUAACUAUAA
Molecule: transfer RNA, 67 nt
Filed under: Cyphoderus albinus
Lineage: Eukaryota; Metazoa; Arthropoda; Collembola; Entomobryomorpha; Paronellidae
Description: tRNA-Gln
Source: RNAcentral